UGUAAUUGUGUUUCAAACAUGAAGUUUCUCUCUUUAGAAGGAGCCUUUGGAAUCAUGAUUCUAUUCUCCAGAUAGCAGAGGAUGGUCUCCCUCGAACUGGAGGAAGAGUGAAUGAACGCCCUGAGCGUAUUCCAUGCUAGGCCUAUCGGUGUGCCAGCAGCAUUUUUAGCCCAGAAGAAAAUGGAGGAAGACAUCUUAAAAUCAGUAGCCGCAUUGAUCUGCUCUAGACAGCCUCCUUCAUAGUACGGGUUGAUGGCCAUGCAUCUAGAAUGGUGGCAGCACCAAGACCAGAAAGGGAGUACAAGUUUGUAAAUGCAUGUCUGGUGCAAGAGACUGCUGGAGAUGACUCAGGUAACCAGAACUCGUUCUUUUCAAGGCUCCUAUUAGGAGACUUCUGGAGAAUUAUCAGUAGGAAGGUUAAGAGUUCCUCAACAAUCGCUUUCAUGUCAUUUAAUCCUAGAAUAACCCAAUUUCUAUGAAGUUUGCAAGAAGUCUGUUCAUAAUUCAUGUGGGGGGAUAAAUAAAAAUAAACCUGUGUUAUCCCAACCUCUGGAUCUCCUACUAUGUCUCUUUCCAC
Long non-coding RNA from Gavia stellata (red-throated loon), 577 nucleotides. RefSeq lists it as uncharacterized. Lineage: Eukaryota; Metazoa; Chordata; Aves; Gaviiformes; Gaviidae. The transcript has 3 exons. The record is from RefSeq and is a predicted model, not a curated record.